RNAcentral lists this ribosomal RNA (478 nucleotides) under uncultured bacterium. RNAcentral's name for it is "partial 16S ribosomal RNA". It matches the Rfam family "Bacterial small subunit ribosomal RNA", at positions 28 to 507 of the family's 1533-position model. The record is from RNAcentral.
GAUGAACGCUAGCGGCAGGCCUAACACAUGCAAGUCGAGGGAGAAGCCCUUUCGGGGGCAGACACCGGCGCACGGGUGCGUAACGCGUAUGCAACCUACCUUUCACAGGGGGAUAGCCCGAAGAAAUUUGGAUUAAUACCCCAUAAUAUUAUUGGAUGGCAUCAUUUGAUAAUUAAAACUGCGGUGGUGAAAGAUGGGCAUGCGUCCUAUUAGCUAGUUGGAGUGGUAACGGCACCCCAAGGCUACGAUAGGUAGGGGUCCUGAGAGGGAGAUCCCCCACACUGGUACUGAGACAGGGACCAGACUCCUACGGGAGGCAGCAGUGAGGAAUAUUGGUCAAUGGUCGGAAGACUGAACCAGCCAUGCCGCGUGCAGGAAGAAUGCCUUAUGGGUUGUAAACUGCUUUUAGAUGGGAAGAAUAAGGCGUACGUGUACGUUGAUGACGGUACCAUAUGAAUAAGCAUCGGCUAACUCCGUG